Molecule: unclassified non-coding RNA, 395 nt
Filed under: Hevea brasiliensis (rubber tree)
Lineage: Eukaryota; Viridiplantae; Streptophyta; Magnoliopsida; Malpighiales; Euphorbiaceae
Source: RNAcentral
CCAUUCCAUUGCCUCAGAUUCCCAACUCUUGCUCUGUCAAAAUCCAACUUUGGAAGUUUAAUAUUUGAAGCUCCUAAGCCGCAGGAAGCCAUAGGAACCUCUGAAGCGUUGGAGACCAGGGAAUCCAGAAAAGUAAUGAAGAGUCCAAAAUAAACAAAACCCAGUUCAAAUCCAAUCUAAAAUAUCCACAAGGCACAAAGACUCUGCUUAUGGGUGCGUGCGUGUCUGCACUAUAAGUGAGGAGAAGUUAGUAUGUGGCUAUUGCGUCUCCUCAAACAUUAGAAUUGUGCAUUUUAGCCCAUAUAAGAACAGGAAAGAGCAGACAGAUAGACACAGAGUAAGCGUCGUAAACCCCCCAAAGACGACAGAAGAGAGGGAGCCACCGACGCCAAAAC